GGAUGUGAGGGUGAUCUAGCUGUGACCUCUGUCACGCCACUGAUUGCUAGGGUUAAUUUGGCUGAUCUGGCUGGCGAGAUGGGUGUCCUCUUCCUCCCCCAUCAUUCCAUGUGUGUCCCUCCAAAAGCUGCACUCGGUCUGUAGAAGAUGACCUUCCCUGAUAGAGGACCUGUUCUUUGUUCAAGAGUAUAUAAUUAGCUGCACUCCCCUGCUAGAACCUCCAAACAAGCUCUCAAGACUCAACAAACUAGUUUUCAAAGAACUUAAUCCACAAGAAAUCAAUGUUGAUCAGAUCAGUAAUACUUUCUUUCUCU
RNAcentral lists this small nuclear RNA (314 nucleotides) under Spermophilus dauricus (Daurian ground squirrel). Its description in RNAcentral is "7SK RNA (ENSSDAG00000012015.1)". It matches the Rfam family "7SK RNA". From Rfam's summary of the family: 7SK was discovered as an abundant small nuclear RNA in the mid-70s but a possible function has only recently been suggested. The record is from Rfam by way of RNAcentral. Lineage: Eukaryota; Metazoa; Chordata; Mammalia; Rodentia; Sciuridae.